CCAUGUCUAGUGUCACUGGAAACAGCCAGCUGACCUCACAAUGCUUAUCUCACUGUUGCUGUCAAAGCAACAGGGACUAUUGCCCUUUGAUCCCAUCCCUUGUCCCUCCACCUGCACUUCCUCUCAUGCCACCACUGAGGACAAUUCGAGAAACUGAUGCUACCGUGUGGAACAGCUUACCAGGGUUUCAUUCCCUGCAAAGUUAUUUGUAUACUUGUCCACUACAGGAACAACCCAACGUCAGAAGUCUUUUUAGAGGGUUCAGUGGUUCAUGUGCAGGUUUGCUUUAUAAGCAAAUUGCAUAUCAUGAGGUAUGGCGUUCAGAUUAACUCAUCACCCAGGAACGAUGAAAGGCGCCUGGAACCCUCGCUGAGAGCUGUGAGCAGGCAGUGGUGAUGAUGGAAGUGAGCGGGGCUGGGGGCUGCGCACAGCAGUACCCAUCACCUAGGUGAAAUAACAGCUGGAACUUACCAGAAUUCUACUCCUCAAAGAGUCUGCAUGCAGUGGCAUAAAACUAACACAGGUGCCCCAGCAUGAUGACAAAGAAUAAAUAGAAGCAUAUGUUCUGAAAGGUCCAUAAUUCUUUGCUUCUUAGAAUACUACUUAUAAAACGUGGUCAGCUUUGUUCUGCAAAUUGGCUGACACCUAACACAGAGGCACCGCCGUUGGUGCCCGCGUGACCGUGGCACCUGGAUUCCCUUAUCUUGUUUAUUAUUAUUAACUGUUUCAAAAACACUUUGGAGAUUUGAAGAAAGGGAUAGAUUGUGAUCUCUUCUCAGAGUGUGGUCCU
Molecule: long non-coding RNA, 790 nt
Organism: Callithrix jacchus (white-tufted-ear marmoset)
Lineage: Eukaryota; Metazoa; Chordata; Mammalia; Primates; Cebidae
Source: RefSeq, a predicted model, not a curated record